RNAcentral lists this long non-coding RNA (239 nucleotides) under Lathyrus oleraceus (garden pea). RNAcentral describes it as "Pisum sativum (pea) long non-coding RNA (PSAT_LNC006997)". Lineage: Eukaryota; Viridiplantae; Streptophyta; Magnoliopsida; Fabales; Fabaceae. The record is from RNAcentral.
AAAGAAAAAUUAUGGUUGGAAUACUCAAGUUUGUUAGUGUCGUGAUUCUAUUUCUUUUCUUAUUUCUUGUUACAAUAGAAGCUGAUGAUAGUAAGUUAUCUUUUUUAUCAUGUAUUGAUUUUUUUUACUUUGUCGUUCGUAACAUUUUUGCUCAGUUUUAAUAACAUUAUUUAUUUUUUUUUCAUGCCAGACAUUCAAAAUGUGAGACAGAUGAUGAUUGCCCAAAAAAUCUAUAUCCG